RNAcentral lists this ribosomal RNA (334 nucleotides) under Escherichia coli. RNAcentral's name for it is "partial 23S ribosomal RNA". It matches the Rfam family "Bacterial large subunit ribosomal RNA", at positions 187 to 559 of the family's 2925-position model. The record is from RNAcentral. Lineage: Bacteria; Pseudomonadati; Pseudomonadota; Gammaproteobacteria; Enterobacterales; Enterobacteriaceae.
GGGGAACUGAAACAUCUAAGUACCCCGAGGAAAAGAAAUCAACCGAGAUUCCCCCAGUAGCGGCGAGCGAACGGGGAGCAGCCCAGAGCCUGAAUCAGUGUGUGUGUUAGUGGAAGCGUCUGGAAAGGCGCGCGAUACAGGGUGACAGCCCCGUACACAAAAAUGCACAUGCUGUGAGCUCGAUGAGUAGGGCGGGACACGUGGUAUCCUGUCUGAAUAUGGGGGGACCAUCCUCCAAGGCUAAAUACUCCUGACUGACCGAUAGUGAACCAGUACCGUGAGGGAAAGGCGAAAAGAACCCCGGCGAGGGGAGUGAAAAAGAACCUGAAACCGU